Molecule: long non-coding RNA, 306 nt
Organism: Cebus imitator (Panamanian white-faced capuchin)
Lineage: Eukaryota; Metazoa; Chordata; Mammalia; Primates; Cebidae
Exons: 3
Source: RefSeq, a predicted model, not a curated record
UCAGUGGUAUUAAGUAUAGCAUUCAGUGGUAUUAAGUGUACCAGUUCAGUGGUAUUAAGUGUACCAUUCAGUGGUAUUAAGUGUACCGUUCAGUGGUGUUAAGUGUAGAGUUCAGUGGUGUUAAGUGUAGAGUUCAGUGGUAUUAAGUGUAGAGUUCAGUGGUAUUAAGCGUAGAGUUCGGUGGUAUUAAGCGUAGAGUUCGGUGGUAUUAAGUGUACCGUUCGGUAGUGUUAAGUGUAGAGUUCGGUGGUGUUAAGUGUAGAGUUCGGUGGUAUUAAGUGUAGAGUUCGGUGGUAUUAAGUGUAC